This 581-nucleotide ribosomal RNA is filed under the name Stenotrophomonas maltophilia. RNAcentral's name for it is "bacterial SSU rRNA". It matches the Rfam family "Bacterial small subunit ribosomal RNA", at positions 64 to 640 of the family's 1533-position model. Lineage: Bacteria; Pseudomonadati; Pseudomonadota; Gammaproteobacteria; Lysobacterales; Lysobacteraceae. The record is from RNAcentral.
GCACUGGAAAGCUUGUCCUACGGGUGGCGAGUGGCGGACGGGUGAGGAAUACAUCGGAAUCUACUCUGUCGUGGGGGAUAACGUAGGGAAACUUACGCUAAUACCGCAUACGACCUACGGGUGAAAGCAGGGGACCUUCGGGCCUUGCGCGAUUGAAUGAGCCGAUGUCGGAUUAGCUAGUUGGCGGGGUAAAGGCCCACCAAGGCGACGAUCCGUAGCUGGUCUGAGAGGAUGAUCAGCCACACUGGAACUGAGACACGGUCCAGACUCCUACGGGAGGCAGCAGUGGGGAAUAUUGGACAAUGGGCGCAAGCCUGAUCCAGCCAUACCGCGUGGGUGAAGAAGGCCUUCGGGUUGUAAAGCCCUUUUGUUGGGAAAGAAAUCCAGCUGGCUAAUACCCGGUUGGGAUGACGGUACCCCAAAAGAAUAAGCACCGGCUAACUUCGUGCCAGCAGCCGCGGUAAUACGAAGGGUGCAAGCGUUACUCGGAAUUACUGGGCGUAAAGCGUGCGUAGGUGGUUAUUUAAGUCCGUUGUGAAAGCCCUGGGCUCAACCUGGGAACUGCAGUGGAUACUGGAUGA